UGCAGUUGACGGGAUUGGCUUAGCAAUAGGCCAUGAGAGUAGCGCACGGGUGCGUAACACGUAUGCAACCUGCCCCUGACUGGAGGAUAGCCUCUCGAAAGAGAGAUUAAUAUUCCAUAACAUAUAGUAUAAGCAUUUAUAUUAUAUCAAAGCUCCGGCGGUCAGGGAUGGGCAUGCGGCUGAUUAGGUAGUUGGUGAGGUAACGGCUCACCAAGCCGACGAUCAGUAGGGGGUCUGAGAGGAUGUCCCCCCACACUGGUACUGAGACACGGACCAGACUCCUACGGGAGGCAGCAGUAGGGAAUAUUGGUCAAUGGGGGCAACCCUGAACCAGCCAUGCCGCGUGCAGGAUGACUGCCCUAUGGGUUGUAAACUGCUUUUGUACGGGAAGAAACCUCCGAACGUGUUCGGAGUUGACGGUACCGUGAGAAUAAGGAUCGGCUAACUUCGUGCCAGCAGCCGCGGUAAUACGAAGGAUCCAAGCGUUGUCCGGAUUUACUGGGUUUAAAGGGAGCGUAGGCGGACUUUUAAGUCAGUGGUGAAAGCUUCCCGCUUAACGGGAAAACUGCCAUUGAAACUGCUAGUCUCGAGUAUGGUUGAGGUUACUGGAAUGUUGCAUGUAGCGGUGAAAUGCUUAGAUAUGCAACAGAACACCAAUUGCGAAGGCAGGUAACUAAGCCAUAACUGACGCUGAGGCUCGAAAGCGUGGGGAGCAAACAGGAUUAGAUACCCUGGUAGUCCACGCCCUAAACUUUGAAUACUCGGUCUUGGCGAUAUACAGUCAGGGCCCAAGCGAAAGCGUUAAGUAUUCCACCUGGGGAGUACGUUCGCAAGAAUGAAACUCAAAGGAAUUGACGGGGGCC
RNAcentral lists this ribosomal RNA (863 nucleotides) under uncultured bacterium. RNAcentral describes it as "bacterial SSU rRNA". It matches the Rfam family "Bacterial small subunit ribosomal RNA", at positions 56 to 921 of the family's 1533-position model. The record is from RNAcentral.